UUGUUUUAAUUAUCAUUUCACGUGUUUCUCUAGACAUCUACUUCCAAGAUAAAUUCAUGUAUAUUUAUAAAUUAGGGCUAUUUUAAUUUGUGUUUAAAAAAGAAGUCUUUUCAAGCUUAUUUCAUGUCUAUUUCACUAAGAAACUUAAUACGCCUGCAUUUGGGGUUUAGUUGUACUAGCUGUUUGGGGCUGCAAGCCAACGACCGAGCAUUAACGAAGUCACGAUAAUGUUUAUUUACCAACACUUGUAAGUCAGAUUUCAAAGUGAUUUUUUUUUUUUUUUACAAUUAUUUCACGACAAUAAUAAUCGUGUUUAUCUCCGAUAAUGUAUCAAUAAGUUGCACCGAUGCGCUGCUCUCAAAAGAAGAACUGGAAAAAAAAAGAAGAAAAGAAACAAUACUAGUAAAGUAGGUCAAUUAUAAAUAGAUCUCUCGUCUUUAAUGUGUCCUGCAACAAAAAAAGCAGAUGAGUCACAAAGUCUCAGGAAUGAAAAUAUAAAAUGAAAGACCUGAAACUGAAAUGAGAUCGAACUCUAUAUGUUUUGGUUAAACCUAGACCACCUGCUGACCUUUCUAAUAGAAUAAAUAUCUAGUUGGUUAUAAACACUUUGAAUGCUUUGUUUUGUCGGUUACAAAUCCACAAUAUAAACUUAUGAUAUUUCAGGUUUGCAUAAAUAUAUAUUUUUGUAUAUUUGAAUUAUUUCUAACGUAAGAAUUUGUUAUUUAAUAAAAUGACCAUGAAUUGAUAUUAUUGAUGAAGUCAUAUGGUGACCUUCUGGUAAGAGGAGUAAAAGUAAUAUAGGUCAAAAGAACGAUUUCAAAGAAUCAUUUUGCGUUUUUUACAUAUUAAGUGCAUUUUUAAGCCUUGUAAACAAAAAAGAGGAUCAAACGAUACAUUUUUUUGUAGUUAUCAUACAAAAAAACAACAACACAUAAAUUAUUAAUAUACAUUUUAAAAUAACAAAAUUAAAUACAUAUGUGCUGAAUAUAUAAAAAUUCACCUCUCUUGGUAAUGCACUUUUCAGUGUAUGUUUGUUUGUUUUUUUACUAUCUAUAAUGAAUAGUUAUUUAGAAAAUGUAAAAAUAACUGCUUGCAUUUUUACUUUUAAAAAUUAAAUGAUUGGCUUUCAAAAAAAAGAAAAAAAAAUGAGCCGUUGCAUCAGAACAUUGAAAGUUCUAAAAUAUCAAGAUGUCGGAUUUUCAAUAUCUAUUUUAGUUUCUGUGAUCUCAACAGGACGGACGGACAGACAUCACAAAACUAAUAACACGGAGUUUCUAUUUCCUUGCAAAUAAUAUAAGGGGAAGUUAUUUAUAUGGUUCUAGGGGUUUAUUAUUGGUUAAAUAGUCUCCAUUGAUGAGACAUAAACAGGAUAUAUAAGAUAAAGUGAGUUUAUUGUGAAAGCAAUAGAAAAGAUGUAGGUGGGUGUCAGGUGGGAGGGUUGUCUCAAUACAAGAUCACGUUGGUCACAGUAAUAUCUCCUCAUACAGCCAAACAGUAGAAGAACAAAUUACAAGAAUUGGGAAAAUCUAUAAUAUAAAUUUUUUGGCCCGAGAGAUUGUUUCUUAUAUAUCCCCUUAUUUUUCAACUUGCCAACGACGAUAAAAUGUGAAAAUUUAACAUGCUCUAACUUAACUUAAGCCUAGAAUAACUAAGCCACAGUGGUUAAAUUUACACACAAAAAAAAGAAAACAACUUGUUGUUUCUACCAAAUGUGUCUUUGAAAGCCGAAAUUUUAAUGACUAAAGUAUAAAGCGUAAGUUCCUUCGCAUUAAGCACUUAUUAACACUUUUUUGGUACGCAACUUUCUUUUGUUCAGUUUUAGUAUUUAUGUUGUUUUUUUCUUCACCGUCACGGAAUGGAAGUGUUCAAGAUUAUACUUGAAAAACAAGCUUGUUUAUAUUUCAUUGAUUUCUAUAAAAUUAUU
Non-coding RNA from Biomphalaria pfeifferi, 1924 nucleotides. The record is from the annotation of a GenBank genome assembly. Lineage: Eukaryota; Metazoa; Mollusca; Gastropoda; Planorbidae.